Molecule: long non-coding RNA, 339 nt
Organism: Trematomus bernacchii (emerald rockcod)
Lineage: Eukaryota; Metazoa; Chordata; Actinopteri; Perciformes; Nototheniidae
Exons: 2
Source: RefSeq, a predicted model, not a curated record
AUCAGAGAUGAUGAGACGAUCAGAGCCAAGAUCCAGAAGAACUGAACUCCCAUCCCCCGAGUCCUGCGGCAGGAAGCGCUCCUUCUCUCCAAGAACUCCUGGACCCUGCAAGCUGCUCCAGAACCAGAGUCCCAGUGAGGAGUCCAGCCAGUCCACCUCUCAGAGUUAAACUAAACUACAACAUUAUUAAAGAUCAUGUUUAAAGUUAAAAAAGGAUGCUUUCAGACUGAAUCCAGAAGUUUCUCAAGCUGCAGUCAAAGCAGGUCAUUUGAGGAAUAUAUAAAACAAUUAUAAAACUGUAAUAAGAAUUACUCUGAAUACUUUCUUUGGACAUUUUAU